Molecule: non-coding RNA, 549 nt
Organism: Trichomonas vaginalis G3
Lineage: Eukaryota; Parabasalia; Trichomonadida; Trichomonadidae
Source: Rfam
GUAGUCUGCCAUACGCAGGAAGACCCGCUGAACUGAAGCAUCUCAUUAAGCGGAGGAAAAGAAACUAACUAGGAUUCCCUUAGUAAAGGCGAUCGAAAAGGGAACAGCCCAACGUCUUAAUCCCGCAAGGGAAAUGUAGUCGGUUCACCUAUUGCACUGGUCUAAGUCAGAUGGAAUGCUGCGCGAUUCAGAGUAAAAGCCUCGUAUGACCAACCGCAAGCUUACGAUGGACCGGGGAGAGUCGGAUACUUUGAGAGUAGUGUCUUAAGGGGGUGGUAUGUCCCAUCCAAGGCUAAAUAACGUGAGGAGACCGAUAGAUUACAAGUAGUGUGAACGAAAGAUGAAAAGAACUCUAAAACAGAGGGUGAAAAGUUCCUGAACUUGCUUAGGGUUAAGGCUAUUUAUAGUACCCGUCUUGAAACACGGAUUAGGGAGUUUAUCUGUAGUGCGAGUCUUUGCACGUUAACUGUAAAGGCGUAGAGAAGCAACUGGCGUUUGCAUGGCUACUGAGCAUUACUGAUCGACCCGAAAGGUGGUGACUUUGCUGCA